GGGCGAAGUUGAGGAGGGUCAGCGGCAGGAGCAGCUCACAUAAGUGGUCGGGGAAGACAGUCGGCAGCAGGUCCAUCGCAUCAUGUGAAUCCAUCCAUUGGCAGAAAUCAUAAUUAAAUCAUCAUCAUUGACAUGGCAGAAUGGGCGUGCAAAGAAAUUAUUUACAGGAUAUACAAAGCAACUACAUGUUGAUAUGAUUGGAUUGUAUGCACGGCGGAUUUGUAAUACUUAGUGUGAGUGCUGCUAGUCAAUAAAGAUGGGAUUCGUAGGAAAACAAAAAUAAUCAAUCAGUAGUCACCAUACGUAUGUGCAUAAUAGUUGUACAUAUAUAAUCUGAGUUGAUUUCUUUCUUAAAAAUUAUAUUAUCAACAUGGCUAGAGACUAUAUAGAUGGUCUACUCUGGUAUGUAGGUACAUGUGCAUCCAUCUUUUGCAUGCCGGCAAUCGGACUGAGAAAGCUAGACACAAAAAUACUAGCAAGUAUAUAUACUGAGAAAGCUAGACACAAACAUAGCCGCCUAGCAUUGGUAAGGUACAUGGCUUUGUUUCACUCAUUGCAGGAAAGUGGGCUGCUCUUGCAAAAUCGUGAGGCAGCAAACAGCUGCAGCAGUGGCAUGAGACGCUAACUCGACGGCAACGCAACAGCGAUGGGAUAAGCAACAGCCGGUUCAUACAGCGGUACGGCACAGAUCGCAUCAAGCAGCAAGGCGAGAGGGGGG
Molecule: ribosomal RNA, 718 nt
Filed under: Triticum aestivum (bread wheat)
Lineage: Eukaryota; Viridiplantae; Streptophyta; Magnoliopsida; Poales; Poaceae
Description: partial small subunit ribosomal RNA
Source: RNAcentral